RNAcentral lists this RNase P RNA (426 nucleotides) under Rhizobiaceae bacterium. Its description in RNAcentral is "RNase P RNA component class A". It matches the Rfam family "Bacterial RNase P class A". From Rfam's summary of the family: Ribonuclease P (RNase P) is a ubiquitous endoribonuclease, found in archaea, bacteria and eukarya as well as chloroplasts and mitochondria. Its best characterised activity is the generation of mature 5'-ends of tRNAs by cleaving the 5'-leader elements of precursor-tRNAs. Lineage: Bacteria; Pseudomonadati; Pseudomonadota; Alphaproteobacteria; Hyphomicrobiales; Rhizobiaceae. The record is from RNAcentral.
CCAGUCGGCCGGGCGGCCGCUCCGUUUCCGCAUGGAGGCGGGGAGGAAAGUCCGGGCUCCACGGAAGAACGGUGCCGGAUAAUUUCCGGCGAGGGCAACCUCAGGGAAAGUGCCACAGAAAGGAAACCGCCCCGCCUGCAAAUCGGCUUCGUCUGAUGGCCGGGCCGAUUUGCCGGCGGGGUAAGGGUGAAAGGGUGGGGUAAGAGCCCACCGCGCGGACGGCAACGGACGCGGCAAGGUAAACCCCACCGGGAGCAAGACCAAAUAGGGAUGGCGCGAAGGGCGACCUUCAGGCGUUUCCGGCCGAGCCAUCCGGGUUGGUUGCUUGAGGCGGAUGGCAACAUCCGUCCCAGAGGAAUGGCCGCCACGUGCCGUGCCGCAAGGCGCGGGGCCAUACAGAACCCGGCUUACAGGCCGGCUGGCAAU